UACGAAGGGUGCAAGCGUUACUCGGAAUUACUGGGCGUAAAGCGUGCGUAGGUGGUUCGUUAAGUCUGAUGUGAAAGCCCUGGGCUCAACCUGGGAAUGGCAUUGGAAACUGGCGACCUAGAGUGCGGUAGAGGGUGGUGGAAUUCCCGGUGUAGCAGUGAAAUGCGUAGAGAUCGGGAGGAACAUCAGUGGCGAAAGCGGCUUCCUGGACCAGUACCGACGUUCAGGCACGAAAGCGUGGGGAGCAAACAGG
Molecule: ribosomal RNA, 253 nt
Filed under: uncultured bacterium
Lineage: Bacteria
Description: partial 16S ribosomal RNA
Rfam family: Bacterial small subunit ribosomal RNA
Source: RNAcentral